UUUAGAGUUUGAUCCUGGCUCAGGACGAAACGCGGCGGCCAUGCUUUAUACAUGCAAGUCGAACGCUGAAGCACUCUGCUUGCAGAGUGCGGAUGAGUGGCGAAACGGGUGAGUAACACGUGGGAAAUCUGCCUAGGAGUGGGGGAUAACAUUCGGAAACGGAUGCUAAUACCGCAUAUCUUUUUGAACCGCAUGGUUCUUAAACGAAAGACGGCUUCGGCUGUCGCUCUUAGAUGAUCCCGCGGCGUAUUAGUUAGUUGGUGGGGUAAAGGCCUACCAAGACAAUGAUACGUAGCCGACCUGAGAGGGUGAUCGGCCACACUGGGACUGAGACACGGCCCAGACUCCUACGGGAGGCAGCAGUAGGGAAUCUUCCACAAUGGGUGCAAACCUGAUGGAGCAAUGCCGCGUGAAUGAAGAAGGUCUUCGGAUCGUAAAGUUCUGUUAUUAGUGAAGAACAAAUCGAGGAGUAACUGUCUCGAUUUUGACGGUAACUAACCAGAAAGUCACGGCUAACUACGUGCCAGCAGCCGCGGUAAUACGUAGGUGACAAGCGUUGUCCGGAAUUAUUGGGCGUAAAGGGAGCGCAGGCGGUUGGAAUAGUCUGAUGUGAAAGCCCACGGCUUAACCGUGGAAGGUCAUUGGAAACUGUCCAACUUGAAUGCAGAAGAGGUAAGUGGAAUUCCAUGUGUAGCGGUGAAAUGCGUAGAUAUAUGGAGGAACACCAGUGGCGAAGGCGACUUACUGGUCUGUGAUUGACGCUGAGGCUCGAAAGCGUGGGUAGCGAACAGGAUUAGAUACCCUGGUAGUCCACGCCGUAAACGAUGAGUGCUAAGUGUUGGAGGGUUUCCGCCCUUCAGUGCUGGAGUUAACGCAUAAGCCACUCCG
RNAcentral lists this ribosomal RNA (888 nucleotides) under uncultured bacterium. RNAcentral's name for it is "bacterial SSU rRNA". It matches the Rfam family "Bacterial small subunit ribosomal RNA", at positions 1 to 871 of the family's 1533-position model. The record is from RNAcentral.